GCGUCGGUAGUGUAGUGGUAUCACGUGACCCUGCCACGGUCGCAACCCGAGUUCAAAUCUCGGCCGACGCA
Molecule: transfer RNA, 71 nt
Organism: Salinarchaeum sp. Harcht-Bsk1
Lineage: Archaea; Methanobacteriati; Methanobacteriota; Halobacteria; Halobacteriales; Natronoarchaeaceae
Rfam family: tRNA
About the family: Transfer RNA (tRNA) molecules are approximately 80 nucleotides in length. Their secondary structure includes four short double-helical elements and three loops (D, anti-codon, and T loops). Further hydrogen bonds mediate the characteristic L-shaped molecular structure. tRNAs have two regions of fundamental functional importance: the anti-codon, which is responsible for specific mRNA codon recognition, and the 3' end, to which the tRNAs corresponding amino acid is attached (by aminoacyl-tRNA synthetases). tRNAs cope with the degeneracy of the genetic code in two manners: having more than one tRNA (with a specific anti-codon) for a particular amino acid; and 'wobble' base-pairing, i.e. permitting non-standard base-pairing at the 3rd anti-codon position.
Source: Rfam